GCCCGGGUGGCGGAAUUGGUAGACGCUGCGGACUUAAAAUCCGUUGCCCUUGAGGCGUGUGGGUUCGAGUCCCACCCCGGGCACUA
Molecule: transfer RNA, 86 nt
Filed under: Actinomycetes bacterium
Lineage: Bacteria; Bacillati; Actinomycetota; Actinomycetes
Description: Actinobacteria bacterium tRNA-Leu
Rfam family: tRNA
About the family: Transfer RNA (tRNA) molecules are approximately 80 nucleotides in length. Their secondary structure includes four short double-helical elements and three loops (D, anti-codon, and T loops).
Source: RNAcentral